AUGGGUAAUUGUAUGUCGUUUCUACAUGCUUUUAAAUUAAAAAGAAACAAAUAUAUUAACUCCGCUUCACAUAUGAAUAAUAAAUACAAAAGUUCGUCUAAUUAUGAUGCAUACAAUAAAGGAUAUGUAAAACAAGAAGAGGUUCAGUCAUUUAAUACGACUAGCGAAGUAAAUACGACUAGUGAAGUAAAUACGACUAGCGAAGUAAAUACGACUAGCGAAGUAAAUAAAACUAGCGAAGUAAAUAAAACUAGCGAAGUNNNNNNNNNNACUAGCGAAGUAAAUAAAACUAGCGAAGUAAAUAAAACUAGCGAAGUUAAUACAACUAGCGAAGUUAAUACAACUAGCGAAGUUAAUACAACUAUCGAAGUUAAUACAACUAAGGAAAUGUACACAACUGACAAUAAGAGAAAAAUUACUACUUGCAAUGACAGCAUAAUGUGCAAAAAAAAAUUAAAUAAUAAAUAUAUAGCAAAUAAUAAAUCGGAUAUUGCAAAAAAAAAUGAAAGCAUUUUAAACAUCGAAUCUAAGUGUAUAAUAGGAAAUAAUAAUAAUAAAAAUAACACACUUGAAAAAACAGAUGGUUUAAUAACAAAAGAAAAAAGUAGUACAAAAAAAAAAAAAGAAAAAAAAAAUGAAAAAGAUAAAGAUAAAGAUGAAGAUAAAGAUGAAGAUAAAGAUAAAGAUGAAGAUAAAGAUAAAGAUAAAGAGAAAAUAAAAAAGAUAAACGAAAAUACAGAUGAAAAAGCACAAAAUCAUGAUCAUGAGUGGUCUAAUGAUGUUCCUAAGUGUACAAACGUUGAUAAUGUUACAAACGUUGAUAAGUGUACAAACGUUGAUAAGUGUAAUGGUACCUGUAAUGAUACAUGUAAUAGUGGCGGUGAUGGUACAUGUAAUAGUGGUGGUGAAAAUAUUUUUGAUGUAUAUGAAGAGGUAUAUAAUGAUAUAUAUGAUAAUGUAUAUGCUGAAGCAUAUAAAACUUCACAUAAUGAAGCACUUAAUGAAAUAAAUACUGGAAAACUUAAGGAGUUUCUUGGUGAAAAACAUGAUAACUUUUAUAGUAACGAACGUGUAGAUUAUUAUAGUGAAAAACGUAAUGAAUUAUAUAAUGACAAACUUAGUGACUUAUAUAAUGAGGCAUAUAAAGAAGCAUAUAAUGAUGCAUGUAAUGAGGCAUAUUUUGACGCACGUUAUGAUGCAUAUAAUAAUUUUUAUGGUGAGAGAGAUAAUGAUAAAGGUGAUGACAAAAAUAAUGACAAAAAUAAUGACAAAAAUAAUGACAAAAAUNNNNNNNNNNGACAAAAAUAA
Molecule: long non-coding RNA, 1308 nt
Filed under: Piliocolobus tephrosceles (Ugandan red Colobus)
Lineage: Eukaryota; Metazoa; Chordata; Mammalia; Primates; Cercopithecidae
Description: lncRNA (ENSPTEG00000004704.1)
Source: RNAcentral